AGGACGAACGCUGGCGGCGUGCUUAACACAUGCAAGUCGAGCGGUAAGGCCCUUCGGGUACACGAGCGGCGAACGGGUGAGUAACACGUGGGUAACCUGCCCUGUACUGUGGGAUAAGCCUGGGAAACUGGGUCUAAUACCGCAUAUGACUGCAUCCUGCAUGGGGUGUGGUGGAAAGUUCUGGCGGUACAGGAUGGGCCCGCGGCCUAUCAGCUUGUUGGUGGGGUGAUGGCCUACCAAGGCGACGACGGGUAGCCGGCCUGAGAGGGCGACCGGCCACACUGGGACUGAGACACGGCCCAGACUCCUACGGGAGGCAGCAGUGGGGAAUAUUGGACAAUGGGCGCAAGCCUGAUCCAGCAAUGCCGCGUGAGUGAUGAAGGCCUUCGGUUGUAAAGCUCUUUCGCACGCGACGAUGAUGACGGUAGCGUGAGAAGAAGCCCGGCUAACUCGCGCCAGCAGCCGCGGU
Molecule: ribosomal RNA, 469 nt
Filed under: uncultured bacterium
Lineage: Bacteria
Description: SSU rRNA
Rfam family: Bacterial small subunit ribosomal RNA
Source: RNAcentral